GAUAAUUUUCAUUCCAUAGGACACUUUCCUUAAACUCUUUUUUUCAAUCAUAGUAAAAGGAAAUUCAAUUAAAAUUUAUAGCUUGGAUUCUUCAAACUUAGGCUGCACCACUUCAAGUUGCGUUGUUGAAUCCCUAAGCUCUUUUUGUUCUACACUUUCAUUCUUCAACCACUAAGGGCUCUCAUUGGACCUCCUGUUGACAACGUUGUUUCUGCUGGAAUAAAAUUUGCUCAUUAUCUAGAGGCUGAAGCUCUUGUUCCAACAAAUAUUUCGUCAUUUGCCAUGUAUGGAAUGGUCCUUUUCCUUCUCUUACCCUCCUAGAUUGUAGUUGCUCCCACCAUGUGAAUGCAUCUCCCUUUAAUCAACAUGCCACCAACUUGACCUCUCUUUCAGGUGUUAUGUCCAUAUAGUUGAAGAAUUUGUCAACCUUCGUGAUCUAAUCUAAGAAUUCUUCAAUGUUGAGAUCCCCAUAGGAAUAAGGAACAUCAAUUUUCAAUUGAUAAUCUGCCCCUUCUCAUUUCACCAUAUUCGCUUUGAUACCUAUUGAACCUAAUUGGCUUGUAGUCGUUUUCCUCUUCCGGAUCAUCAUCGUAGACAUUUUGCCUCAUGCAAGAAUUGGUCGAUAAAUAAGCUUACCACGAACUGCACCAUCUUUUGUUUUUCUAUUUUCAACCCAAUCCUCCAAACCAAAACUCAAAAGCUCAAAAGACACAUGAUAUAUGAGACUAUUUAUAGAGAUUUUAAUCUCUUAAUCCUAAUGAAAAAAAAAAAAAUCUAAUUUCUAGGAAGUUUAGAUAAUCUAAAAUACAUCAGGAAGUUGAGAUAAAAUAGGAAAAACUAACACCUAUUUGAAAUUGGAAAACUAAAAAUAAAUUGUAAUUAGAAUCGGUAAAUUAGAAAUAAGUCCUAAUUUAAAUAGGAAGCACCCUAAAACUAAUUAUGCAGCUGUAUUUUAACAAAACACUAAGUAAAUUUGGGUUUGUACUGCUUGAAACAAAUUUAUCGUUGCUGGUCCAGUGGGAAAUGCACUGCAUCCAAAUGGGAAAUCUUGAGCUUUUCUCCAACAAUUACUUCUCAAGAUAAAACUCAAACUUGGUUCAAAUGUAAUGCAAUAUUCACUGCCAUUUAAUCAUCACUAGCAGCAUCAUACCCCAACCAAAACUGCCUAAACCUUUGAGCAAAUUUGAAUGGACACAAGCAAUUUCUUAUACUAUCUAGUGAAUGGAUUCCAUAAUGCAAGAGUAGCAUAAUCUUUUAGCAAGAAAGUAAAUAGAGAUUGAUCAAAUUAAUUAAGUCAAUUUUAGUAUGUUCCAUUUGAAUUUUUAAAUUUAAAACAUCUGACAUGGCUGCCAGAUAAGCAUUCUGAUGAAGCUUUCAACUGAUUUUGACCAAAGCGGCCACGCAUGAAACAAUGUUGAAAAUUGCUGGUGUUUUGUGUGACAAAAUGAAAUUAUACAACAAUUCCUUAUAAAGCUUUUUUACCCCAUUUCGUGUGUUAAAGUUUUCUGUUGGAAAAUUUAUAUAUGCAUGGAACAAGUUUGUUGCCACAUUGGUUCUAUGUUUUUGUAUUAAGAGAUAAUUCCAAGGAACGGCUUUUAUAGUGCUUAUCAAAGCUCAAAAUUUAGUUGUCUUGUUCAAGGAACUGAACAAACUUGCUUAGAAAGAAU
This 1667-nucleotide unclassified non-coding RNA is filed under the name Hevea brasiliensis (rubber tree). The record is from RNAcentral. Lineage: Eukaryota; Viridiplantae; Streptophyta; Magnoliopsida; Malpighiales; Euphorbiaceae.